AUUGAACGCUGGCGGCAGGCUUAACACAUGCAAGUCGAACGAGCGGCGGACGGGUGAGUAAUGUCUGGGAAACUGCCUGAUGGAGGGGGAUAACUACUGGAAACGGUAGCUAAUACCGCAUACCAUCAGAUGUGCCCAGAUGGGAUUAGCUAGUAGGUGGGGUAAUGGCUCACCUAGGCGACGAUCCCUAGCUGGUCUGAGAGGAUGACCAGCCACACUGGAACUGAGAAACGGUCCAGGCUCCUACGGGAGGCAGCAGUGGGGAAUAGUGCACAAUUGGCGCAAGCCUGAUGCAGCCAUGCGGGGUGUGUGAAGAAGGCCUUCGGGUUGUAAAGCACUUUCAGCGAGGAGGCGUUACUCGCAGAAGGAGCCCCGGCUAACUCCGUGCCAGCCGCCGCGGGAAUUC
Molecule: ribosomal RNA, 406 nt
Filed under: uncultured bacterium
Lineage: Bacteria
Description: partial 16S ribosomal RNA
Rfam family: Bacterial small subunit ribosomal RNA
Source: RNAcentral